This is a ribosomal RNA of Nomascus leucogenys (northern white-cheeked gibbon), 122 nucleotides long. The record is from Ensembl. NCBI's taxonomy places the organism in Eukaryota, Metazoa, Chordata, Mammalia, Primates, Hylobatidae.
GCCUUUAUGGCCACAUCACCCUGAACGCACGGGAUCUCAACUGAUCUUGGAAGCUAAGCAGAGUCGGGCCUGGCUAGUACUUGGGAUGCGAGACCACCUGGGAAUACUGGGUGCUGAAGGCU